GACGAACGCUGGCGGCGUGCUUAACACAUGCAAGUCGUACGGUAAGGCCCUUUCGGGGGUACACGAGUGGCGAACGGGUGAGUAACACGUGAGUAACCUGCCCACAACUUUGGGAUAACGCUAGGAAACUGGUGCUAAUACUGGAUAUGUGCUCCUGCUGCAUGGUGGGGGUUGGAAAGCUCCGGCGGUUGUGGAUGGACUCGCGGCCUAUCAGCUUGUUGGUGGGGUAGUGGCCUACCAAGGCGGCGACGGGUAGCCGGCCUGAGAGGGUGACGGGCCACAUUGGGACGGGGAAACGGCCAGACUCCUACGGGAGGCAGCAGUGGGGAAUAUUGCACAAUGGGCGCAAGCCUGAUGCAGCAACGCCGCGUGCGGGAUGACGGCCUUCGGGUUGUAAACCGCUUUCAGCAGGGACGAAGCUUUUUGUGACGGUACCUGCAGAAGAAGCACCGGCUAACUACGUG
Molecule: ribosomal RNA, 464 nt
Filed under: uncultured bacterium
Lineage: Bacteria
Description: partial 16S ribosomal RNA
Rfam family: Bacterial small subunit ribosomal RNA
Source: RNAcentral